RNAcentral lists this ribosomal RNA (429 nucleotides) under uncultured archaeon. Its description in RNAcentral is "bacterial SSU rRNA". It matches the Rfam family "Archaeal small subunit ribosomal RNA", at positions 146 to 576 of the family's 1478-position model. The record is from RNAcentral.
UUAAUACCGGAUAGAUCAAAGAUACUGGGAUGUUCUUUGUUCGAAAGCUCCGGCGCCCAAGGAUGGGUCUGCGGCCUAUCAGGUAGUAGUGGGUGUAACGUACCUACUAGCCUACGACGGGUAAGGGUUGUGAGAGCAAGAGCCCUGAGAUGGAUUCUGAGACAUGAAUCCAGGCCCUACGGGGUGCAGCAGGCGCGAAAACUUUACACUGCGGGAAACCGCGAUAAGGGGACCCCGAGUGCCAGCACCUAGUGCUGGCUGUCCAGCUGUUCAAAAAACAGUUGUUAGCAAGGGCCGGGCAAGACCGGUGCCAGCCGCCGCGGUAACACCGGCGGCCCGAGUGGUAGCCGUUAUUAUUGGGUUUAAAGGGUCCGUAGCCGGCCUAUUAAGUCUCUUGGGAAAUCUGGCGACUCAAUCGUCAGGCGUUCA